Molecule: ribosomal RNA, 429 nt
Filed under: Pseudomonadota bacterium
Lineage: Bacteria; Pseudomonadati; Pseudomonadota
Description: Proteobacteria bacterium partial 16S ribosomal RNA
Rfam family: Bacterial small subunit ribosomal RNA
Source: RNAcentral
UGGGGAAUAUUGGACAAUGGGCGAAAGCCUGAUCCAGCCAUGCCGCGUGUGUGAAGAAGGUCUUCGGAUUGUAAAGCACUUUAAGUUGGGAGGAAGGGCAGUAAGCGAAUACCUUGCUGUUUUGACGUUACCGACAGAAUAAGCACCGGCUAACUCUGUGCCAGCAGCCGCGGUAAUACAGAGGGUGCAAGCGUUAAUCGGAAUUACUGGGCGUAAAGCGCGCGUAGGUGGUUCGUUAAGUUGAAUGUGAAAGCCCCGGGCUCAACCUGGGAACUGCAUCCAAAACUGGCGAGCUAGAGUAGGGCAGAGGGUGGUGGAAUUUCCUGUGUAGCGGUGAAAUGCGUAGAUAUAGGAAGGAACACCAGUGGCGAAGGCGUCCACCUGGGCUCAUACCGACACUGAGGUGCGAAAGCGUGGGGAGCAAACAGG